This is a non-coding RNA of Cygnus atratus (black swan), 66 nucleotides long. Lineage: Eukaryota; Metazoa; Chordata; Aves; Anseriformes; Anatidae. The record is from the annotation of a RefSeq genome assembly.
GGCUCUGUAGUGAAAUUCAUGUUGAGUUGCAAGCUCAUCGAUACGCGCUGAGGUGCGUCGGGGCCU